AACGAACGCUGGCGGCAUGCCUAACACAUGCGAGUCGAACGAGACCUUCGGGUCUAGUGGCGCACGGGUGCGUAACGCGUGGGAACCUGCCCUUAGGUUCGGAAUAACUCCCCGAAAGGGGUGCUAAUACCGGAUAAUGUCUUCGGACCAAAGAUUUAUCGCCUUUGGAUGGGCCCGCGUUGGAUUAGCUAGUUGGUAGGGUAAAAGCCUACCAAGGCGACGAUCCAUAGCUGGUCUGAGAGGAUGAUCAGCCACACUGGGACUGAGACACGGCCCAGACUCCUACGGGAGGCAGCAGUGGGGAAUAUUGGACAAUGGGCGAAAGCCUGAUCCAGCAAUGCCGCGUGAGUGAUGAAGGCCUUAGGGUUGUAAAGCUCUUUUAACCGGGAUGAUAAUGACAGUACCGGGAGAAUAAGCUCCGGCUAACUCCGUG
This 433-nucleotide ribosomal RNA is filed under the name uncultured bacterium. Its description in RNAcentral is "partial 16S ribosomal RNA". It matches the Rfam family "Bacterial small subunit ribosomal RNA", at positions 29 to 507 of the family's 1533-position model. The record is from RNAcentral.